RNAcentral lists this long non-coding RNA (1505 nucleotides) under Salmo salar (Atlantic salmon). RNAcentral describes it as "lncRNA (ENSSSAG00000093853.1)". Lineage: Eukaryota; Metazoa; Chordata; Actinopteri; Salmoniformes; Salmonidae. The record is from RNAcentral.
CUUUAAACUUCAGGCAUAGCAACAUGCACAGAGUGCUGAUAGGCUGUAGAUCCUCCCUAGAUAGGGAGAAAGAGGCUGACUGUGAUGUCUACGAGUGUCAGUGUCUGAGCUUCUUCGAGAGGCGGCGGAUCGGCUUGGAGGAUUAGAGUACUUUGAGAGACGCGGACGGGUUCGAGCUGCUGAAAAUGUCUGGAACUACACAGAGCUGUCAUCUUAUACCUGUCCCAUGCCCCAAUCAGGGCUACAGUAUGAGAUAUCUGAAGACCCUUGUGUCGUGCUACUCUGUACAUUCGCCCGCUGUAAAGGAAUUUGAGUAUGGAGCAUGAACUGAAUGAUUCAGUUGUUGUUCAAAGUGGAACCCUGACACAAUGUCUAAACUGUGAAGAACAACUUCCCUUUGCACAAAUAAGAAGACACAGUGAAGCCUGCUCAAGUUCAUCUGGCAUUUCAGCAGCAAGUGGUCCAGUAUACACCGUUGGUGAACCAAAUCCGGUCAAGGCAGCUCAGCUGUUCACAUACUGGACACUUCAGUCCCACGAGGACAAAGACCUCCUGAGCUUGAGGGAUUCCUUAGUGGAAAGGAACAGGACCAUAAUCCUUUUCUCAACAAUUGCAUCCAAUGUCUUGGUUUGCUGAGCUUGUGUAACUCUACAUUGAAUGAUUUCAAAUAUGUUUACAAGGUGACUCUGCCAUUGGAGAGGGGGUCACUAGUUUUUCCCCAGGUCAGUCAAAAGGACAUCUGUUUAUUUAUGAAGACCUUGCUCUUUGAGGGUUCAUCAGAGGCCCUGAAGAGUUUGUCCGAGGUCCUGAAGAGUGCUUUUUUUAACCUGAAGCUGUCGAAAAAUACUAUGACUUAUGAGGAUUUUGAAAAAGAUCAGAUGGCAAGCAUCUCCUCAUCCUACUCUGGGUUUGGUCUGUUUUGAUUCAAAGCCCUGCAGGAAGACACAAUUCUUCACAUCAGCUCAAAAGUUUUAUAGAGCUUUUUACUUUGUUAUUUGAUAUACUUUACACUAGGUAUAGAGUUUAGUAAACAGUGAUACAGACACUUUGAUAAAGUGGCUUACAUUUUACAUUCUACAUUCUAACGGUAAUGGUUAACCAAAAAAAUCAAAGCUGUACAAUUUGAAAGAUUAGAGAGAGCUAGAUUAAAGGUAUUGCUCACUACCUCGUCAAUUCCCAAUGGCCUUGCAGGCAGAUGCAUUCUAGAUCCUAUUGGAGGAGGAACCUGAAGCUGGGGCCAGUUCAAAGGCCUACCCUCCAUAUCUACUCCCAUUAUCCCUAUUUAAAAGUCCUGUCAAUGCUAAUUGUGACUAACAACGCCUCUUUAUAAACAAUUUUACUUUUGAAGCCAGGCGGGGUUUUCCAACUGUGGGAAACAUACUGUAUUAAGGAAUAUUGUGUGGUAUAUCAGAAUUCCCAUGCACUUGUUCUAUGCCUGGCUGCACUACAAGGUGAACUGUAAGGCAAGUUACCCUCAAACUGUACAAGAGACUGAAAUAAAAAAC